AUACGUAGGUGGCAAGCGUUGUCCGGAAUCAUUGGGCGUAAAGCGCGCGCAGGCGGGAAUGUAAGUCUUACUUAAAAGUGCGGGGCUCAACCCCGUGAUGGGUAGGAAACUACAUUUCUUGAGUACCGGAGAGGAAAGUGGAAUUCCCAGUGUAGCGGUGAAAUGCGUAGAUAUUGGGAGGAACACCGGUGGCGAAGGGGACUUUCUGGACGGUGUCUGACGCUGAGGCGCGAAAGCCAGGGUAGUGAACGGGAUUAGAUACCCCGGUAAUCCUGGCCGUAACCGAUGGGUACUAGGUGUAGAGGGUAUCGACCCCUUCUGUGCCGGAGUUAACGCAAUAAGUACCCCGCCUGGGGAGUACGGCCGCAAGGUUGA
Molecule: ribosomal RNA, 375 nt
Filed under: uncultured bacterium
Lineage: Bacteria
Description: bacterial SSU rRNA
Rfam family: Bacterial small subunit ribosomal RNA
Source: RNAcentral